This 2436-nucleotide ribosomal RNA is filed under the name Yamadazyma jaroonii. RNAcentral's name for it is "[Candida] jaroonii rRNA". It matches the Rfam family "Bacterial large subunit ribosomal RNA". Lineage: Eukaryota; Fungi; Ascomycota; Pichiomycetes; Serinales; Debaryomycetaceae. The record is from RNAcentral.
AUUGAAAAAAGAUAUAUAAAAUAAAAUAUUACUUUAAGGAUCUAAAACUUAUAUAUGGGAAGAUUUAAUAAAUAUGAAAAUAUUUAAUCUAAACAUGAAAAUGAGGAAAAAGAAUAAGUGAAAUGAAACAUCUGAGUAACUUAGGAAUAAACCAACAGGGAUUAUAAGAGUAACGGUGAGUGAAAUUAUAAAAGUCUAUAAGUAAUAUUAAGAAAUAUUGAAUAAAGUAGUAUCUACUACUAAGACUAAAAAGAAUAUAUAAGAUAAAAGUACCGUAAGGGAAAAAGAGUAAAUAGAGUAAUAAAGAGCAAUUAUAGUAUAAUGUACCUCUUGUAUAAUGGGCCAGUGAGUUAUAAAUAUUAGCAAAAUAAAUAAAUUAAAAAUAAUAUGAGUUUAAACAAUCAUAAGUUAAUAUUUAUAGGCCCGAAAGUAAACGAUCUAUACAUGUCCAAGAAUAUUUAUAUAAAAUAUAUAUAAAUAUGUCUGAAUAGGUAGAUGUUGCAAUAUCUUCUAAAGAGAUGUGUAUCGAAGUGAAAGACAAAUCUGGUUUACAGAUAGCUGGUUUUCUGCGAAAUAUAUAUUAGUAUAGCCUUUACAAAAUGUAAAAAUUGGUACAGCACUAAAUCAUGUUUGGGGGAUUAUAUUCUAAUUUUAUCAUCAUUUUUUAACCUCGGAAUCAAUAUACCAUAUAUGUAAGGAGUCAGAUUUAUUGCGAUAAGGUAGUAGAUCUAAAAGGAAACAACCUAGAUUAUUUAAUGAAUGUCCCAUAUUAUAUAUUAAGUGAACAUAAUCUGAAUGAGUUAUUAUAUAACAUAUAUAUUUUAUAAAUAUAUAGAUUAGACAUUUAGUCAGUGGGUUUGACAAUAACCAUCUGUUAAUGAACAUGUAACAAUGCACUAAAUGAAGAAGAUAUCCUAUUUUAAUAAGAUAGGGUAUUUUCAUAUCAAUAAUUUAGAUAAAAUAUACGGGUCUAAAUAUAUAACAUUAAUAAUAAAUAUAUUUUAUAAAUAUAAAUAUAAAAUAUAUGGUAGCAGAAUAUAUAAUGAAAUAUAAAUAAAUAAAAAUUAUAUAGAAUAUGCUGGCUUGAGUAACGAUAGGUAAUAUAAGAUUACCCUCUAUAUCAUAAGGUUUUACAAUAAACGAACGGUCCCUAAGAUUAAGAAUAUAGAAAUAUAGUAAUUAAUGGGAGAUAAUACAGGAAAAGUAUAAUAAACCGUACUGAAGACCGACACAGGUAUGAUAAAGGAGAAUGAGCAAAUUGUAGUAAAUGAACUCGGCAAAUCGAUUAAAAAAUAAAUAAUGUGCGACUGUUUACCAAAAACAUAGCUUAUUGCAUAUUAGUAAUAAUAAGUAUAAUAAGUGAUAUCUGCCCGGUGUUAGUUAAUAAAUAAUAAUUGUUAUUAAGCGAUUAUUAUAUAAAGAACCUAUAAACGGCGGUCUUAACGUGAGGAUCCGAAGGUAGCGAAAUUCAUUGGCAUAUAAUUGAUGUCCUGCAUGAAUGAAUAAACGAUGCAAUAACUGUAUCUAUUACAAGCUCAGUGAAAUAGCAAUUGCGGUGAAGAUGCCGUAUACCCGUAGAUUGACAAAAAGACCCUAUGCAGCUUUACUAUAUCUUGUUUUUGAUUCUUAUUAUUUUUAAUUAUAAGUUAUUAUUUUAUUUACUUAUAUAAUAUAAUAAUUAUCUUAUCUAAAUUUAUAUCUUAAUUAGAUAUAUUAAUUCAUAUAUUAUUAUAUGAAUUUAAUUAGAAACAGAAAUUAGAAGUUAGUUUCGAUGGGGCGUCGACAUCAGCGAAAGCAUCUGAUGUGUCUAUUUAAUAUUACUUCAUAUUUAUUGAAGUUUAUUAUUAUAAAUAAUUUAUAUUAUUUAAUAGAAAAUUACGUACAAAUAAAUCUAUAUGGCAAAUAGAUAUAAUAUAAUAAAGUUUAACUUUAUUAUUACAAAUAAUGUAAGGAUAAUAACAUAAUUGUGCGAUGAUAAUGACACUAACAAGUGAAAUUAGUACUUACGUAGAGUAUAGUGAACAGACAUAAUCUAAAGAUAAGGAUGUCGAUAACGGAUUAAAGUUACGCUAGGGAUAACAGGGUAAUACCGCGUGAGAGUUGAUAUCGUCAGCGGUGUUUGCCACCUCGAUGUCGUCUAGACUCGUCCUCCUGGUAGUAGCAGCUAGGAAGGGUAAGACUGUUCGUCUUCUAAGGAGUUACUUGAGAUGGGUUAAUUACGACGUGAGUCAGUAAUGAUUUUAUCAUCUAUGGGUUUUUUUCUUAUUUGUUGCUUUGCGUGUACGAAAGGAUAAUUAAGUGCCUUCCUAUGGUUUUUUGUAUAUAUAUAUAUUUAUAUUAUAUACAUAUUAGCUAAGAAGUUUGAGAUUACAUAUUGAUAGACUAUUAAAUAUUAAAUCCUACAAAUAAGAUUAUAACAUAGUAGACUACUAUGUA